RNAcentral lists this ribosomal RNA (335 nucleotides) under uncultured bacterium. RNAcentral's name for it is "bacterial SSU rRNA". It matches the Rfam family "Bacterial small subunit ribosomal RNA", at positions 28 to 334 of the family's 1533-position model. The record is from RNAcentral.
GAUGAACGCUGGCGGCGUGCUUAACACAUGCAAGUCGAACGGGGGCGUGAUGUGCGAGAGGGAUAGUUUACUAGACUUCAAACUUUUCACGCCCUAGUGGCGGACGGGUGAGUAACGCGUGGGUAACCUGCCAUAUACAGGGGGAUAACACUUAGAAAUAGGUGCUAAUACCGCAUAAGCACACAGGGGCGCAUGCCCCGGUGUGAAAAACUCCGGUGGUAUAGGAGGGACCCGCGUCUGAUUAGCCAGUUGGCAGGGUAACGGCCUACCAAAGCGACGAUCAGUAGCCGGCCUGAGAGGGCGGACGGCCACAUUGGGACUGAGACACGGCCCAA